This 945-nucleotide ribosomal RNA is filed under the name Triticum aestivum (bread wheat). Its description in RNAcentral is "partial small subunit ribosomal RNA". Lineage: Eukaryota; Viridiplantae; Streptophyta; Magnoliopsida; Poales; Poaceae. The record is from RNAcentral.
AUGGUAAGAUCAUGCUAUGUCCCGAAACUCGAUGAAGGCGACGACGACGGUGGUGUCGUCCUUCUUCCCUCUGAAUUUAUUCCGUCCGUGUUCCCGGGCGGCGAUGCUGAACGGCGUGUCCUGGGUACGCCUUGCCGCGGCGUAAGCUUGGCUGGCGAUGAUGUCGGCCAUGUUUUUGGGCGUGAAGCUGAGCGCCAGGCCCGACUGCACGAUCUUCUCCAGCAUCACGUCGAACACGUUGUCGAAGAGCCCGUCGGACGCGACCACCACCACGUCGCCUUCCUCCACGGCGAUCUCGCCCACCGCCGCGUCGCUGACCUUGUUGCUCUCCUCGGAGUCGGAGCUGAGCUGGAACGGGCAGUUGAAAUAGGAUUGCUGCGGCUGCGACCGGUGCAGGAUCCGGCCGUCGCGGAACACGGCGAAGCCGCUGUCGCCGACGUACGCCCACCUGAGGGCCCUGCCGGCGAGCGACACGAUGACGGCCGUGGACGCAGCCGGCGUGCCAGAUGCGACCGUCUGCUGGUACGCCUUCUCCAGCAGCGCGUAGGGGCAGAUGCCGCCGGGCGGCGGCGGCGCGGCGGCGGAGGACGCCACGACCUCCGACAGGGCGCUCGCCAUGAGCCCGCGCGAGAACGCGGCGGCGUCCACGCCCUCCAAGCGGCAUCCCCCGACGCCGUCCGCGACGCCGAUGACGCCGGCCACGGCGUGGAAGAAGUGCGCGUCCUCGUCGUGCUCCGGCAGGUAGCACGACGCGGCUCUCAUCCUCAGCGCCGCGCCCGUGGGGGGGUUACUCCGCCGCGCGCGCGGCUGCAGCUGCCGCGCCAGGUAGGCGGCGUACCUCGCGACGUCCUCGCGGCCGGCGGCGGCGGAGGGCGGCAGGCUCCCGAGGCGGAUGCCCACGGCGAUCCGGAGGGCCGCGGGGGUCCGACUGCUGAUCUCGCUUAG